AUCACUUCUCAGCCUUUUGGCUAAGAUCAAGUGUAAUAUCUGUUCUUAUCAGUUUAAUAUCUGACACAGCUUCUAUCUGAGGACAAUAUAUUAAGUGGAAUUUUGGAGCUGGGAGAUGGAACAGGGGCUUGCUCUGACUACUGACGCAUUGACCCUGGUAUUGCAAUACUUCCCAAAAUGGUGCAUUCCGC
This 191-nucleotide small nuclear RNA is filed under the name Dasypus novemcinctus (nine-banded armadillo). Its description in RNAcentral is "U2 spliceosomal RNA (ENSDNOG00000044123.1)". It matches the Rfam family "U2 spliceosomal RNA". From Rfam's summary of the family: U2 is a small nuclear RNA (snRNA) component of the spliceosome (involved in pre-mRNA splicing). Complementary binding between U2 snRNA (in an area lying towards the 5' end but 3' to hairpin I) and the branchpoint sequence (BPS) of the intron results the bulging out of an unpaired adenosine, on the BPS, which initiates a nucleophilic attack at the intronic 5' splice site, thus starting the first of two transesterification reactions that mediate splicing. Lineage: Eukaryota; Metazoa; Chordata; Mammalia; Cingulata; Dasypodidae. The record is from RNAcentral.